GAAAUAUGUUGAACAAGAAAAAGCUUCUAACUUUAUACUUUAGCGGUUUAAUUCCGUUUAUAUUUCU
Molecule: transfer RNA, 67 nt
Filed under: Nebria brevicollis
Lineage: Eukaryota; Metazoa; Arthropoda; Insecta; Coleoptera; Carabidae
Description: tRNA-Ser
Source: RNAcentral